ACGAACGCUGGCGGCGUGCCUAAUACAUGCAAGUCGAACGGUCUUUCUAUGGAAGCUUGCUUCCACUGAGAAGAUAGUGGCGAACGGGUGAGUAACACGUGGGUAACCUGCCCAUAAGAGGGGGAUAACAUCCGGAAACGGGUGCUAAUACUGCAUAGUUUUCUUGAUCGCAUGAUUGAGAAAGGAAAGACGGCCUUUGUGCUGUCGCUUAUGGAUGGACCCGCGGCGUAUUAGUUAGUUGGUGAGGUAACGGCUCACCAAGACGAUGAUACGUAGCCGACCUGAGAGGGUGAUCGGCCACAUUGGGACUGAGACACGGCCCAAACUCCUACGGGAGGCAGCAGUAGGGAAUCUUCCGCAAUGGACGAAAGUCUGACGGAGCAACGCCGCGUGAGUGAAGAAAAGGUUUUCGGAUCGUAAAACUCUGUUGUCAGAGAAGAACAAGUUGGAGAGUAACUGCUCCAGCCUUGACGGUAUCUGACCAGAAAGCCACGGCUAACUACGUGCCAGCAGCCGC
Molecule: ribosomal RNA, 517 nt
Filed under: uncultured bacterium
Lineage: Bacteria
Description: bacterial SSU rRNA
Rfam family: Bacterial small subunit ribosomal RNA
Source: RNAcentral